UUCUAGCACUUCCUCCUGUCUUUCGGGUAAAAGAGCAGUGAGGGCCUCCAGGGAUCCAGGGAUAGCGGAAAUCCUGAAGCAGUUAUGGCUGUGACGAACCAGGUGCUUGAUUACUAUGGUUGCAGCUUUCCUGAUUUCGGCCUCACUAGGAUCCUUCCAGGUGAUCAUCUCUAAGAGUCUCUCCACAACUCCGGGCGUGGUACCAAUCCUCCGUUGCGUUUCUUCCAUUGAAUCUCCUUUUGAGACAAGAGCUGACAGUAUGUUGACGCUACCGAGCUGCUCUUCCCUUAUGCUUGACUGCAGCUUCUCGACGGUGAAAUCGAUAAGGUCCAUUCCCAGGCCAUCAAACACGCUUCCGUUCAGCGAUCGUGAGUACAAUGUGUACCAGUACUGCUUCAUGGUUUCAAUGUCGUCUUGAUCAAGCUCACAUGUUCGAGUGACUACUUCCAGCAACCUCUGGUAACGAAGCUUGAAUUCCCAAUAUGUUCUCUCCAGGAGGAAUAGCGACGUUUCUGCCAGCAUCAUCGCGUAAAACACAGUAAGUGCUUGCUCAGUGUUGUUUCCUUGGGCAUUGAAGCCGUGCUCGGCAAGUCGAUAUACUGAGAAACAUGCGGUGACUGUUGCAGAAGCAAGCUGGAGGAAGUACAUGAAAAGGCUGAUGAUCCUGGUGGGGAGGAACUUUACAUACGCGCUUCCCACGCACCAAAUUCUUCUGGCAGCGAAUCCCUGGUGUAAAUCUUUCUUUACUGGUUUUUUGGAAAGUCGAUCUCUACUCACGUUCUGUUCAGAGUGGUCAUGGUCCAAGACUCCAGAGAACUUCUCCCAUAAUCUGGCGCUCUUGUCGAACAGGAACGAUCUGAAGCCGAGAAUUCCCAAGCUGUAAUUUGCCUGCUGCCAUUCCAACUCGCUACUUCGACUGAAAACCCGCGUUCCUUCAGUCAGCAGCAAGGCCGAGAUCGUCCAAAAGUCUUUGGCCGGAAUGUUGCUCACGAAUCCACCGAGGAGAACAACAGUUGCCCAGACGAAGGCCAGUUUCCCGAGGCCAGUGGCGAACUUUUCAAGAACUGCGAGCCUGAAAGCUAUCAGAUUUAGCUGCUCUGGUGAUCGGGAAUUAUUCCUUUCCACUGGAGCUGAAGACUUUAAAAAAGUGGAAAGCUGCUGCAGCUCUGGAGCUGAAGGCUUGGGAGUGGAAGGCUGCUGCUCGACGUCCGGAUGUGGGACGACAACGCACUGGUAUUGAGGGUUCAAGUGCUUGAAGGUGGAGAAGCGAGAGCAGAGCCGGAAGAAGGAACUUGAAUGGUUACCUCGUCCGCAAAGUGAACGGUACUCUUGGGGGCACCGGCAGACUGUGCCCCUUGAAACUUUCUGCUGUUCCACGAAUCCAUGUUUAGUGUUCAAGGAGUUCUGGGCAUUCUGGGCAUUCUGGUGACCGUGGUAUUGACGACUUCAAAGCCGCUUGAAUGUCUUUCUCAUGUUGCUGGCAUAAGCAAGUAAGCUACUACUUUCGUUCUAUGAUAGCACGAGCCUUCCGAGCACUUCAAGCUACUCAUCACGAGCAAAUCUAUGAUAGCACGAGCCUUCUGAGCACUUCAAGCGACUCGUCACGAGCGAAUCAAUAAAAAACGAGUGCUUUGUUUGACAGUGCUGCAAGUUGCGACAAAGACACUGCAAACAUCAAGCUUGAGCGGAGUAUAUAAGGGAAUAGGGACGUUGUAACUAGCUACGACGCAAACAUGGCUUGUCUAGAGGGAAUCUAGCAACCACGACAAAAAAUCUUAGAGAAUGUAGAGACAAGGAGUGGAAUGAGAUUUGGGCGGAUCAAACCUGCGGCCUUUGGAAGCGUUCUCCAAGACCCUUCGCCGUGCUCGUUGACAUACUGCAUGAGGAGCGCGUCUUCUUCACGAGUCCAUGGACCCCUGUUGAGACCGAUUUUCUCGCAGCAAGGAGAUCGACCCAUCUGCAUGGCACCACCAACAAGGAUAAAGAAGAACAGAAACUAGAAAAUGCCUGUGGAAGCUUUGGGAAGAACACAGGAUGAAGUUCGACUGGGACGAGAAGAAUACGCUGGGUGUUAUAUACGAGAUGUUUGUUUUAAAUCAAUGUUUUCCGCUCUGCUGGUCUCUUGCAAAUGUUUCUAGUGAGAAAAGAACAAAGUUUGAAUCUUUUGACCCCUUAACGAAAGGAAGCUAGAGACUCGUAUAGAAAUCUAAAAAACCUGUGCCCGCCAUGCAAACAUCACUCCCUUUCUCGCUCGUUAAAUCGCGGUAGGAUCUAGAACAUGACCACUAUACUGUUGAUGACUAUCGCUACAGUAGGAUGGACUUUGUGGUAUAGCUUGGGCUGGUGCUCCACAGAAGCAGCACGAACUACACAGGUUGAAGAAAGAAAAAGUAGAGAAGAAAACGAUGAAGAAUCAAUGAAGAAGACGAAGAAAGGAGCUAAUUACUGCUGUCCGUGAAGAUGCGUGGAGAGAGCAACUUCAAAGAGCUAAAACUUUCACACGACAAACGGUCAGACGAGAAACUGGAGCACUAGUGCUGCGAUUCCAGAUCGAUCAAUGUUGUUUGACAACAAUGAUCUCACACACACACGACUGUUUUCUUCGUCUUGGUACCGCCCUUUCUACUGUUGCACAACAAACUAUCUCACAGCCAUGGAAGGGAAUAAUAGUAUAUAGAAACCUGUUGUAUCUCGUACUCUUGCUCUAUAAAUUCUCCAUAAACUUAAAGCUUCUUCUUCCAAAGUCGGCUUCAAACACACGGCAUGGCCAUCUUUUAGUGUGUACUGCGCAGAACUCUCCCUUUCAACCAGGUCAUAUAGUUUGCCACUUACUAGGCUUAGGUGGUGGGAAAGAAAAAACUGGAGUAUUCCUUCUCACAUAGUGAUGUUUCUAUCUUAUACUUAAGAACCUUGAGCUGGCUCGAGGAGUAGUACUACGAAGUGGUGUAACGAACGCAAAGCUUGGACAGGGCAGACUGCUACUGAACACUAUUGCCACUGCCACAAGCCUCAAAUUUGCAGGGCAAUUAAGUUUAACAUUUUGUAGGGCAAAUUUUCAUUUCCUUCUUGUGAAUAUUACAAUUGUCUUUCAUUGUGCAAGAUAAAAAUUAAUUUAUACCUCCCAAUAUAUAAAUAUUUAUCAACUAAUUCAAUCACACAAAAUCCUUUUUCCUUUUUUUGAUGCCAUGCAUCAUAAACAUGCCCCUAAUUGAUCUUGUUGUUGUCAUUAUCACCAUUUAAAUAGAUGAAUAUCAAAUCAUUUAAAGUUUCAAUCUUUAGAAAGAAUUUUGAAGUAGUUUUUAAUUGAUUUUGAUAAGAAAAUCCACCUUCAGCACAAAUAAUGCUCACAAGUAUCAAAGAGAUAAUUCCAUCAAAUUAGAAUAUAUAUCUGUUAUAGAAAUAUCAUCUUUGCAUAUUUGCCAAGCCACUAACCCAUUUUUUGUUAACAGAUUAUUUUGCAUAAUAGUUACAAACUUUGUGAGUUCUCUUUUACAUUUUUCCCUAUCAACAAAAGGACCAUAUUGGUUCAGAAAGAUAUUUAGCCAUUUAUAAGAGUUGUUAUCCAAGUUUUCCUUAUCAUUUGAGUAAUUCUUUGGGCUGAAAAUUUUUGUAGCAUUGAAUAUGCCUAUAUCCUUUCCCAUUCUGGCCAGCAUAUCAAUGUAUAAUUUCUAAAUACAUUCCUUGUUUAAAUCUAAGCAAAAGCUCAAGCUCUCAUCUCUUUUGCUUUCUGGAAUAGGAGUAUAAUUUAAGGCAUGUUUUUGUUAUUCCCCUUUAGCAUUUAUAAAUUUGAUAAAUUCAUCUUUAGUAGCCUCCACAAAAUUACUCAAGGGUUUCACAACAAGAGUCUCUUUCAGAAAUUUUAUUUUGAUAUUUUUUAAAGUACCAUCUAAGUACCAAACAAUGCUAGUAAUAUCCACAGUUUCAGCUUUGAAAGAUUUUAUUCAAAUUAUUCAAUUCCAGAAGUAUAUUAGGCAGCAUAUGAAUAGAUGAUCAAUCUCUUUAAUACUUCCCCAUGAAAUAACCAACGUACAUUGUGAAUUUGAAGCAUACCUAAUGUAAAUAUAUUCAUAGCAUCUUUUAGAGGCCUAAAAGCCAUGACUCUUUUUCUAGAAGUAUGCAACCAUCUAUAAAUUUGAUUGUAGAGCUUUUGAAGAAUCAUAAGCUUAGGAAAUGCAUGCACAACUUCAAUAGCCACUAAACUUUAUCUAUGUGCUAAGCAAUGCACUCUAAGCAAGUGUGGAAUGUUAUGUUUCAAUAUUGUCACUAGACUAAAUUGUUCUUCAACUAUAAUAAAAGCUCUAUUAGUUCCAAUAGCAACAAAUUUUCCCUUUUUAAAGUUCAUUUCUUCCAAAACCUUUUUGAUGGCUUCAUAUUUAUUUACAUCCUUUAAUUACCAUCAAUUUCAAAAAGCAAGUUUUAUUCAGACUUUUUUCUUUUUCUUGCAUAUGGAAAGAGAUGUAUAUGAUAAGAUGAACUUCCAAACUUCUAUCAAUAUUGUUAUCCACCAUAAUGGAAAAGUAAAGAUUAGCUUGAAUAUCUUGGUAAACAUCUUUCCAUCACAGAUCUUUUUUAUAAACUCUUUCCCACUCAUAACAUUCAUAUAAGUCCUAUACUCUAUGGUGAUUGGCAUAUAAGGCAUUAAAUUCACACAAAGAUUUAUAGCUUUGUAAAGGUAAUCCCUUAUUCACAAUGAAAUACAUGUGUUGCAUUAAGGAAAUCAAUUUAUUUUUGUGUUGAUAUUUUUUAGGAGUAAUAUAUUUAAGGAUAAAUAACCCUUUGCUUCCCAAAUAGCCAUAUGGCAUAGAAAAGCAAAUGGUGGAAAUGAAACAAGUUCUUUGCGAGCUAAGAAUUUCAUGUCCCUUGCCAUCAAGUUGUUGAGGAGCUCCUUUUGUGCCUCAGGACACUGACUAGUAGUUGAAGGAUGUACAAAAUGAGGCUGAUGAUCCUGGUCGGAAGAAAAUUUACGAACGGGAUGACUACCACAGACCAUGGCGUCAACUCCCUGGUAUAAAUCUUUCUUAAUUGAACUGUAACACUGUUAGAAUUCUGUGCAGGGUGCUGAUUAUGGUCAAAAGCCGCCUGCUUUCUGUCAAACACAAGCGAGCGGAUGUUGAGAGUAUUCAUGUAAUUUGCCUCCUGCCAGUCCAGCUCGCUACUUCCGCCAAGAACUUGGGUUCCCUCAGUCAACAGCAAGAUGGAAAUGUUCCAGAAGUCUUUCUUCUUGAUGUAGGUCACAAACUCGAGCGGUGGAUGAUAUCCUUUGAAAGGUUUUGCUGCUCCUGAAACUUCUUGUAUUUCACCUCUUCGUCGUUCUGAUUCUAAUAAUGUAACUUUUGUGACAGCGGAAAAGUACGAACUCUAUGCUUGGAAAGUUUCGAAACAGCGUAGUGGUGACCACAAUUUCAGAAAGGAGAUCUUCUAUGAAGUAAAGGAAGCUUUAUUUUUCAUGUUGAUUAAUGUUUUCUUUCCUAUUUAGAGUUCAGUUAGUGAAUUACAAUUGCGUAAGCGAAGUUGCUGAGAGUUCGGAUCUCCUAUGAAGUAAGCUUCUUCUUCUUUGGAUGUUAAUUGAAUUUUUUCUUUCUUUUUUAGAGUUUACGUGAGCAAGUUGCUGAAACUGAAUUUGUAUUUUAUUCUUGACAGCAUGACACAUUCGAGGCUCUUUUUUUUUGGAAAAGGUGAAGCUACAGCCUAUGUAAGUUCAAUAGGGCGCUGUUGACGAGCUCCUCGAGGCUGCUGGAAUGCUUGGUAAGUCCCACAAAACCCGAAAACGUUAAGAAGUUUUCUUCGUCUGAGGCAGUCGCUAACAUUGCUUCCAGGGACGCCUCCAUUUCACCGUCUUCUCUAAAACGUCGCAAGAACCUGGCGUCCUUUGCCACCAAGCUGUUCAGAAGCUCUACGCUAUAUCGCCGGAUACGAUUCAAGCUCCUAGAAGGUGCUGUGUGGGAUAGAAGCUCUGUGAAUUUUUCGCAAAGCCGUGAUUGUUGCGAUAGCACGCCUUGUUCAAAGUUCCGUCUGUCGAGCCAGGGGAUUAUGGCUGCUGCCAAACCGAUGGCUGCCUGCUGUUCCUUGUCCGUGGAUUCCAGCACCAUCUGGAUGAUGCGAGAUAUGGCUGCUCCAAGCUCCAACUUUUCUUCGUCGUUAAGGUCACCGCACAAGCUUUGCAAAAUUGUGGCUGCAUGGACUCCAACUGGCUUGGUGAGCAUGUUGAUCAAGCUCUUGAGGGUCUUGCUAACGCCACCUUGUCUGCAGCUUUUGUGCAUGAGGAGCCUCGAGCAAUUGUUGGGACACUGGAAAACGAGCACAAUUAUGGCUUCCCCGGCUCUCAUGGCGAUGGUCAACUGGUCGCUGUUCGGUGCGGUUUCUCUCGUAAAUAUGGCCAUCAAGCUUUGGAUAACUCCUCCAGUCGCACCAAUGCAAUCUCUAAGCUCGUCCUCGGUUGCUAGCAGCUUGAUCACGUCGACUGCCAGGUCUUGUAGCUCCAAAUCUUCGAGAUUGCAUAUCCUUUGAAGACUUCUUACUGCUGGCACUACCGACACCAUCUUCUUUCGCAGAGACCGUCCAGAAUCUCCUCGCACGCUAGCCAAUGUCUUCAAAAGAUCGAGUGAUUGACGGAAUACUUCUUUCGACGUUUCUUCGUCUUGGAUAAAUUCAACCAGGAUGGAGAUAAGUCCGCUGGUGUUACCGAUUCGCACGCAUAUCCUGUGGUCCACGGCUAGCCCGUUGAGGAUAGUGAGUCUGUAGCUCUUUUCUUCUAGCACUUCCUCCUCUCUUGCGGCUAAAAGAGAAGUGAUGGCCUCCAGGGAUCCAGGGAUAGCGGAAAUCCUGAAGCAGUUAUGGCUGUGACGAACCAGGUGCUUGAUUACUAUCGUUGCAGCUUUCCUGAUUUCGGCCUCACUAGGAUCCUUCCAGGUGAUCAUCUCUAAGAGUCUCUCCACAACUCCGGGCGUGGUACCAAUCCUCCGUUGCGUUUCUUCCAUUGAAUCUCCUUUUGAGACAAGAGCUGACAGUAUGUUGACGCUACCGAGCUGCUCUUCCCUUAUGCUUGACUGCAGCUUCUCGACGGUGAAAUCGAUAAGGUCCAUUCCCAGGCCAUCAAACACGCUUCCGUUCAGCGAUCGUGAGUACAAUGUGUACCAGUACUGCUUCAUGGUUUCAAUGUCGUCUUGAUCAAGCUCACACGUUCGAGUGACUACUUCCA
RNAcentral lists this long non-coding RNA (7198 nucleotides) under Selaginella moellendorffii. RNAcentral describes it as "long non-coding RNA (SMOE_LNC001941)". The record is from RNAcentral. Lineage: Eukaryota; Viridiplantae; Streptophyta; Lycopodiopsida; Selaginellales; Selaginellaceae.